UACGUAGGGUGCAAGCGUUGUCCGGAAUUAUUGGGCGUAAAGGGCUCGUAGGCGGUCCGUCACGUCGGGAGUGAAAACUUGGGGCUUAACCCCAAGCCUGCUUCCGAUACGGGCGGACUAGAGGUAGGCAGGGGAGAACGGAAGUUCCUGGUGUAGCGGUGAAAUGCGUAGAUAUCUGGAGGAAUACCGGUGGCGAAGGCGGCAUCCUGGACCGACAUUGACGCUGAACGGCGAAAGCUAGGGGAGCGAAAACGGG
RNAcentral lists this ribosomal RNA (256 nucleotides) under uncultured bacterium. RNAcentral's name for it is "partial 16S ribosomal RNA". It matches the Rfam family "Bacterial small subunit ribosomal RNA", at positions 524 to 776 of the family's 1533-position model. The record is from RNAcentral.